AGUGAACGCUGGCGGUAGGCCUAACACAUGCAAGUCGAACGGCAGCACAGUAAGAGCUUGCUCUUACGGGUGGCGAGUGGCGGACGGGUGAGGAAUACAUCGGAAUCUACUUUUUCGUGGGGGAUAACGUAGGGAAACUUACGCUAGUACCGCAUACGACCUACGGGUGAAAGCAGGGGAUCUUCGGACCUUGCGCGAUUGAAUGAGCCGAUGUCGGAUUAGCUAGUUGGCGGGGUAAAGGCCCACCAAGGCGACGAUCCGUAGCUGGUCUGAGAGGAUGAUCAGCCACACUGGAACUGAGACACGGUCCAGACUCCUACGGGAGGCAGCAGUGGGGAAUAUUGGACAAUGGGCGCAAGCCUGAUCCAGCCAUACCGCGUGGGUGAAGAAGGCCUUCGGGUUGUAAAGCCCUUUUGUUGGGAAAGAAAAGCAGCAGGUUAAUACCCCGCUGUUCCGACGGUACCCAAAGAAUAAGCACCGGCUAACUUCGUG
Molecule: ribosomal RNA, 492 nt
Filed under: uncultured bacterium
Lineage: Bacteria
Description: partial 16S ribosomal RNA
Rfam family: Bacterial small subunit ribosomal RNA
Source: RNAcentral